AGUGAACGCUGGCGGUAGGCCUAACACAUGCAAGUCGAACGGCAGCACAGUAAGAGCUUGCUCUUACGGGUGGCGAGUGGCGGACGGGUGAGGAAUACAUCGGAAUCUACUUUUUCGUGGGGGAUAACGUAGGGAAACUUACGCUAAUACCGCAUACGACCUACGGUUGAAAGCAGGGGAUCUUCGGACCUUGCGCGAUUGAAUGAGCCGAUGUCGGAUUAGCUAGUUGGCGGGGUAAAGGCCCACCAAGGCGACGAUCCGUAGCUGGUCUGAGAGGAUGAUCAGCCACACUGGAACUGAGACACGGUCCAGACUCCUACGGGAGGCAGCAGUGGGGAAUAUUGGACAAUGGGCGCAAGCCUGAUCCAGCCAGACCGAGUGAGUGAAGAAGGCCUUCGGGUUGUAAAGCCCUUUUGUUGGGAAAGAAAAGCAGCAGGUUAAUACCCCGCUGUUCUGACGGUACCCAAAGAAUAAGCACCGGCUAACUUCGUG
RNAcentral lists this ribosomal RNA (492 nucleotides) under uncultured bacterium. Its description in RNAcentral is "partial 16S ribosomal RNA". It matches the Rfam family "Bacterial small subunit ribosomal RNA", at positions 29 to 507 of the family's 1533-position model. The record is from RNAcentral.